This 304-nucleotide unclassified non-coding RNA is filed under the name Hevea brasiliensis (rubber tree). Lineage: Eukaryota; Viridiplantae; Streptophyta; Magnoliopsida; Malpighiales; Euphorbiaceae. The record is from RNAcentral.
AUAUUACAUAAUUUUCCCAACAAAGUUUAAUCAUAAUGAGGAAAAAAAUGAACUAAGCCUAACCUUGAUUCGACGAGAAUAUAAGAACACUGCAGGAGACGACGUCGGGCAACACAGAUCAAAGAAGGCGCAGCAGACAGCAGUCGCAAAGAGAAAAGAAAGUAGGCAGGAGGAGAAAUGGGUUACCGGCUUCGGACACAGCCAUAGAAGGGCGAUGCCAGCGAGAUUUGCGAGGAAGCUGCGGCACAACUCAGAUGAGAGAAGAGGAAGAUAACAAGACAGGCUUAGGUUUAGAUAAGAAAGG